RNAcentral lists this ribosomal RNA (492 nucleotides) under uncultured bacterium. RNAcentral describes it as "partial 16S ribosomal RNA". It matches the Rfam family "Bacterial small subunit ribosomal RNA", at positions 29 to 507 of the family's 1533-position model. The record is from RNAcentral.
AGUGAACGCUGGCGGUAGGCCUAACACAUGCAAGUCGAACGGCAGCACAGUAAGAGCUUGCUCUUACUGGUGGCGAGUGGCGGACGGGUGAGGAAUACAUCGGAAUCUACUUUUUCGUGGGGGAUAACGUAGGGAAACUUACGCUAAUACCGCAUACGACCUACGGGUGAAAGCAGGGGAUCUUCGGACCUUGCGCGAUUGAAUGAGCCGAUGUCGGAUUAGCUAGUUGGCGUGGUAAAGGCCCACCAAGGCGACGAUCCGUAGCUGGUCUGAGAGGAUGAUCAGCCACACUGGAACUGAGACACGGUCCAGACUCCUACGGGAGGCAGCAGUGGGGAAUAUUGGACAAUGGGCGCAAGCCUGAUCCAGCCAUACCGCGUGGGUGAAGAAGGCCUUCGGGUUGUAAAGCCCUUUUGUUGGGAAAGAAAAGCAGCAGGUUAAUACCCCGCUGUUCUGACGGUACCCAAAGAAUAAGCACCGGCUAACUUCGUG